AAAUUGAAGAGUUUGAUCAUGGCUCAGAUUGAACGCUGGCGGCAGGCCUAACACAUGCAAGUCGAACGGUAACAGGAAGCAGCUUGCUGCUUUGCUGACGAGUGGCGGACGGGUGAGUAAUGUCUGGGAAACUGCCUGAUGGAGGGGGAUAACUACUGGAAACGGUAGCUAAUACCGCAUAACGUCGCAAGACCAAAGAGGGGGACCUUCGGGCCUCUUGCCAUCGGAUGUGCCCAGAUGGGAUUAGCUAGUAGGUGGGGUAAAGGCUCACCUAGGCGACGAUCCCUAGCUGGUCUGAGAGGAUGACCAGCCACACUGGAACUGAGACACGGUCCAGACUCCUACGGGAGGCAGCAGUGGGGAAUAUUGCACAAUGGGCGCAAGCCUGAUGCAGCCAUGCCGCGUGUAUGAAGAAGGCCUUCGGGUUGUAAAGUACUUUCAGCGGGGAGGAAGGGAGUAAAGUUAAUACCUUUGCUCAUUGACGUUACCCGCAGAAGAAGCACCGGCUAACUCCGUGCCAGCAGCCGCGGUAAUACGGAGGGUGCAAGCGUUAAUCGGAAUUACUGGGCGUAAAGCGCACGCAGGCGGUUUGUUAAGUCAGAUGUGAAAUCCCCGGGCUCAACCUGGGAACUGCAUCUGAUACUGGCAAGCUUGAGUCUCGUAGAGGGGGGUAGAAUUCCAGGUGUAGCGGUGAAAUGCGUAGAGAUCUGGAGGAAUACCGGUGGCGAAGGCGGCCCCCUGGACGAAGACUGACGCUCAGGUGCGAAAGCGUGGGGAGCAAACAGGAUUAGAUACCCUGGUAGUCCACGCCGUAAACGAUGUCGACUUGGAGGUUGUGCCCUUGAGGCGUGGCUUCCGGAGCUAACGCGUUAAGUCGACCGCCUGGGGAGUACGGCCGCAAGGUUAAAACUCAAAUGAAUUGACGGGGGCCCGCACAAGCGGUGGAGCAUGUGGUUUAAUUCGAUGCAACGCGAAGAACCUUACCUGGUCUUGACAUCCACGGAAGUUUUCAGAGAUGAGAAUGUGCCUUCGGGAACCGUGAGACAGGUGCUGCAUGGCUGUCGUCAGCUCGUGUUGUGAAAUGUUGGGUUAAGUCCCGCAACGAGCGCAACCCUUAUCCUUUGUUGCCAGCGGUCCGGCCGGGAACUCAAAGGAGACUGCCAGUGAUAAACUGGAGGAAGGUGGGGAUGACGUCAAGUCAUCAUGGCCCUUACGACCAGGGCUACACACGUGCUACAAUGGCGCAUACAAAGAGAAGCGAUCUCGCGAGAGCAAGCGGACCUCAUAAAGUGCGUCGUAGUCCGGAUUGGAGUCUGCAACUCGACUCCAUGAAGUCGGAAUCGCUAGUAAUCGUGGAUCAGAAUGCCACGGUGAAUACGUUCCCGGGCCUUGUACACACCGCCCGUCACACCAUGGGAGUGGGUUGCAAAAGAAGUAGGUAGCUUAACCUUCGGGAGGGCGCUUACCACUUUGUGAUUCAUGACUGGGGUGAAGUCGUAACAAGGUAACCGUAGGGGAACCUGCGGUUGGAUCACCUCCUUA
This 1542-nucleotide ribosomal RNA is filed under the name Escherichia coli. Its description in RNAcentral is "bacterial SSU rRNA". It matches the Rfam family "Bacterial small subunit ribosomal RNA". The record is from RNAcentral. Lineage: Bacteria; Pseudomonadati; Pseudomonadota; Gammaproteobacteria; Enterobacterales; Enterobacteriaceae.